ACGGAGGGUGCAAGCGUUGUUCGGAAUUACUGGGCGUAAAGGGCGCGUAGGCGGCUUGAUAAGUCAGAUGUGAAAGCCCACGGCUUAACUGUGGAAGUGCAUUUGAAACUGUCAGACUUGAGUACCAGAGGGGAAAGUGGAAUUCCCGGUGUAGGAGUGAAAUUCGGAGAUAUCUGGGGGAAUACCGGUGGCGAAGGCGUCUUUCUGGGUGGAUUCUGACGGUGAGGCGCGAAAGCGUGGGGAGCAAACAG
Molecule: ribosomal RNA, 251 nt
Filed under: uncultured prokaryote
Description: partial 16S rRNA
Rfam family: Bacterial small subunit ribosomal RNA
Source: RNAcentral